This 425-nucleotide ribosomal RNA is filed under the name uncultured bacterium. RNAcentral's name for it is "bacterial SSU rRNA". It matches the Rfam family "Bacterial small subunit ribosomal RNA", at positions 354 to 796 of the family's 1533-position model. The record is from RNAcentral.
GUGGGGAAUAUUGGACAAUGGGCGAAAGCCUGAUCCAGCAAUGCCGCGUGAGUGAUGAAGGCCUUAGGGUUGUAAAGCUCUUUUACCAGGGAUGAUAAUGACAGUACCUGGAGAAUAAGCUCCGGCUAACUCCGUGCCAGCAGCCGCGGUAAUACGGAGGGAGCUAGCGUUGUUCGGAAUUACUGGGCGUAAAGCGUGCGUAGGCGGUGACUCAAGUCAGAGGUGAAAGCCUGGAGCUCAACUCCAGAACUGCCUUUGAAACUAGGUCGCUAGAAUCUGGGAGAGGUGAGUGGAAUUCCGAGUGUAGAGGUGAAAUUCGUAGAUAUUCGGAAGAACACCAGUGGCGAAGGCGGCUCACUGGACCAGAAUUGACGCUGAGGCACGAAAGCGUGGGGAGCAAACAGGAUUAGAAACCCGAGUAGUCC